UUCUAAAACUUUUUUUAACCCAAAUCCAAAAUCUUAUUCAAUAGCUGAACCUAAUACAACAUCAAAUGAUGAAGUAUGUAUCUUAGGUAAGCCUAAACCUUAUUGUCAUCGCUGCCGAGUCGACACCCAUGAUAUGAAGGACUGCAAGGCUGAACGUGCCAUUUUCUGUUUCAAGUGUGGAAAGAAGGACGUUCGAACACCAGAAUGCCCCACUUGCAACCCCAAUAUUGCAGAAACUGGUUCAAAAAACUAAAAAGAAAUUGGAUCAGUAAAGAAGCAACUCUUACCACUAGCUUGGAGUGGCAAAAUUGGCUUAUCUUUAUACGCAGCUUCUUUUCUACAUACAAAACUGCUCCAAUUUUUAAUAAUAAUAAGCCAAGUAAAGACCCUAGACCAUACAUAAAAGUAAAUAUUAACAAUAUCAAGGACCUCGAUAUUUACGGUCUCCUUGACUCAGGUUCUGUUAUAAGCAUCCUUGGAAAUGACUCUCACAAGAAGCUAGUAAAUUAUAAUUUUACUUUACAUACUGACAAUAUUUUAUCAGUCACCGCAGCUGGUGGCCAAGUACUAACUUCCCGUGGCUACAUUCUUUUGCCAAUCAUAUUCGAUGGACAAUAUAAUAUAAUUAAGACCCACGUUAUCCCUGAAAUCGACUCGGCAUUGAUCCUCGGUAUUGACUUUUGGAAACAAUUCAAAAUUUUUCCUGAUCACCUAAAAAAUAUAAGUUAUUUUAACAAUAGCGAUCCUACUUUGCAUGAAAUAUCAGGCGAACCUAAACUUCUUUUACACUCUUAUGAUAAUCUUGAUAUAGAAGAAAGAAGGGUUGCUGACAAGUUGGUAAGCGAUUUUAAAAAGAUUUCUUUCGAGGAACGAGGUUUGGGUCGGACAAGUUUAAUUACACAUAGUAUUGAUACAGGUGAUGCGGAGCCAAUACGACAAAGGUAUUACCGCAUGUCACCUGAAAAGCAAAGGAUUGUAAUUGAACAAGUAGACGAAAUGCUUUCCCUUGACGUCAUUGAGCCCUGUGAAAGUCCUUGGUUAUCUCCGGUAUUAGUAGUUACUAAAAAGGACGGCAAGCCCCGUUUUUGUUUGGACAGUAGGAAACUGAAUUCAGUUACAAAGAAGGAUGCCUACUGCCUUCCUUAUGUCUCAGAGAUUCUCGACAAUCUGAAAGAUGCUAGGUAUUUGUCCAGUAUUGAUUUAUCAAAAAGUUUCUGGCAAAUACCUAUAAAAAAGGAGCAUCGGGAAAAGACAGCCUUCUAUGUACCAGGAAGAGGAACCUUUCAGUUUAAAGUCACUGCUUUUGGCUUGACUAAUGCCCCAGCUACUCAGCAACGCCUUGUGGACUCCUUGUUUGGACCUGAAUUUGAAUCUAACGUAUUUGUUUUCGUAGAUGACGUCAUAAUUAUAAGUAGAACAUUUGAGGAACACUUAUCUCUUCUAUCGCGUGUUCUGCAAAAACUUAGUAAUGCAAACCUAACAAUAAAUUUGAGUAAGUGUCAGUUCUUCCGCAAUCAUUUACGUUACCUUGGUUAUGUGGUCGACGACAAAGGCUUACGAACCGAUCCUGAAAAGAUUGAGGCUAUCCUCAAUUACCCUAUCCCCAAAAAUAAAAAAGACGUGAAGCGUUUUCUAGGUACGGCUUCCUGGUAUAGACGAUUUAUACCAAACUUUAGUUCUAUUGCUGGUCCCUUAAAUAAGUUAACCUCAACCAAAAAGACUUCUCCACCGUUUGAAUGGUCUGAUGAAGCAGAUAAAGCAUUUCUUAAACUUAAAUCACUCUUGGUACAAGCCCCUAUCCUAGCAUGUCCUAAUUUUAAUCAUCCAUUCGAGGUUCACACCGACGCAAGCAACUUCGGUGUAGGAGCCAUGCUUUCUCAAACAAUAGACGGGGUUGAACACCCGGUUGCGUAUAUGAGCAAAUCUCUUACUGGCCCUGAACGAAAUUACAGUGUGACUGAGAGAGAGGCACUCGCUGUCCUAACAGCUCUCGAACACUGGCGUUGUUAUUUGGAGAAUGGAAGAACUUUCACAGUUUUUACAGACCACUCGGCCCUUAAAUGGUUUCUGUCCAUCUCCAACCCGACCGGUCGUUUGGCAAGAUGGGGAGUGCGUCUGUCUUCUUUCGACUUUGUUAUUAAGCAUCGCAAGGGCAAAGAACAUCUUGUCCCAGACCUUUUGUCAAGAUCAGUUCCGGUCGCCUUGGUAUCCACUUCACAGGAUUCGCCUGCAAGUCAAGAUUCAUGGUACUUAAAUAUUUAUAAUGGCUGCAAAGUUUCACCUACCAGUUACCCUAACUAUCGCUUGGAAAACGGUAAACUUUAUAGAUACAUGCGUAACAAGAACUCACUUACUGCAGAAUUUGACUGGAAGGAAGUAAUACCAAAAGAAGAUCGAGACGAAACUAUAAAACUUAAUCACUCUGAACCCACAUGCGGGCACUUUGGUAUAUUUAAAACUUUCAAAAGAUUAUGUCUUAAAUAUUAUUGGCCUAAAAUGCAUAGCAAUGUUGCGAGUUUCAUCUCCAAUUGCGAUAUCUGUCAUGCAUAUAAAUUAUCUACACAAGGCACACUUGGUAAAAUGGGCAGACCCAAGGAGUGCUGCCGACCAUUUCAAUCGAUCUCGAUUGAUUUGGUUGGACCCUUACCACCUUCCAGGAAACAACACAGCUACUUAUUUGUUGUUACUUGUUGCUUUUCCAAAUAUUGUUUGUUGUUUCCAUUGAGACGAGCUACUGCUGAACUCGUGACCAAACAUUUGGAAGACUUUGUGUUUCUUGUUCAUGGUGUCCCACAAACCGUAAUCCUUGAUAAUGGCAUACAAUUCACUAGUCGUGAGCUAGACAAAUUAUUCAAAGUGUACAAGAUUCCAAACGUUAACUUCACACCAAAGUAUACCCCUCAAGUCAACACUGUGGAAAGGUACAACAAGACUAUAAUGACAGCUGUAUCUUCCUUCGUAAACGACGACCAUCGUUCUUGGGAUCUGAAUCUGCCAAAAAUUCAGUUCGCAAUCAACACUUCAAUAAACGAAACAACAGGUUAUACUCCAGCUUUUCUCGUUCACGGGAGGGAAUUAGUAACUUGCGGGUCUCAUUACAUUGAGAAUGACAUCCCAAAUGAGUUAAUUUUCGCUCCUCGAGAAAUUUAUGCUGAAAACUUAGGAUAUCUCUCUAAUAUUUUUAACAAGGUACAAAAAGCACUAUGGAACGCUCACGAAAAGAAUUCUCAGCGUUAUAACUUAAGGCGUAAGGAAGCAGAAUAUCAUGUCGGUGACAUAGUUUGGAAGCGUACUUACUUCCAAAGUGACAAAGAUGCUUAUUAUGCUAAAAAGCUCACUCCUAAAUAUGUUAAAUGUAAAAUUAUUCAAAAACGUUCACCACUCGUUUACGUUUUGGAGGAUAUGGUUGGUCGUAACUUAGGAGCUUGGCAUAUCAAAGACUUAAAAUCAAACAUUUAUAAAUCACAUUAAAAGCGAAUCAUAAACGGAUUAGUUUUCUUAUUAUUGCGGAUUUUGCAUAAGGCAAAAUCCUUUCUUUCGAAAGGGGGUACUGUAACGUAUACAAUCCACAUAAACUUAACUUAUUUAUUAUUUACAUAUUAUACUACACAAUUAUUAUAAUGAAUCUUAACCUACUAUUAUUAAAUACAAAUGCUUUAUAAAUAAAAACUUAAAACUAUAAAUAUAAAUAAAAAUGAAUAAAAACUUAACACUAACUAAAUAAACAAACUGACAACGCAGUUCGGUUUCUAUGUAGUGAUUAAUAUUUUCUGCGCGCGGGUAACCGGUCCAAGCGCGAGCGCCGGGCGGCCAUGUCUAGGCGCGAGCCGAAGAUUCAAUAGAACGCGAACGGCGACCAUUAGCUCUCAACCUUUUGAUACGGCCUAAUGUGCGUACGCUCUGCGCGCCGCACAAUAUUUUCGUGUCAGUUUACUUACUUGAUUGAUACUGAUAGAAAUCAUUAUUUUGUAUUUGUAAAAUACUUGCACUUCAAAAUAAAUAAUAAGUGAAGUGAAACAAAUAUUUUCCCGUAUUGGGAUCACCCUGCGGGUUCUUGGAUGGCGAAGACCUGGAGGCGCACUCGGAAGCACAACCUUAACUGGGACUGGAAGCCCGAGGGGAGUAAGGAGUGUGUAAAGUGUCACGGCUGCGGAUCUAAGACCAGACCCUACCCUGAGAUAGCUUAAAUAAAUUCUUAGUUUGUUUUCCUCAUA
Ostrinia nubilalis (European corn borer) is the source of this 4214-nucleotide long non-coding RNA. RefSeq lists it as uncharacterized. NCBI's taxonomy places the organism in Eukaryota, Metazoa, Arthropoda, Insecta, Lepidoptera, Crambidae. The record is from RefSeq and is a predicted model, not a curated record. The transcript has 2 exons.